CACCAUGGCCGGCUAAUUUUUUUCUAUUAUUAGUAGAGACAGGGGUCUCGCUCUUGUUCAGGCUGGUUUCAAAUUCCUGAGCUCAAGUGAACCUCCGUCCUUGCCCUCCCAGAGAGCUGGGAUUACAGGCAUGAGCCACUGCGUCCAGCCCAGAGCAGUGUUUUAAUUGUAGAAAUUUUUUGAAAGAUGGGGAAUGUAGAUAUUUCUGCACUUUUGUGUUAUGAUUGGACAGCUGCAGCAGAGAAUUGGACUUAGCUGUGACAGCCUGACAGUAUCCUUUGUCCAGUAGUAAGUAGCUGUUUCUGUCGUUUAAAUAGUGAGGGAUAGAAGUCCAUGAACUGUCAAACUCUAACCUGUCCUUGACUUCAGGGAACGAUGACAUCAGUUGGAAUUUGGCAUUGGAGGUUGUUUGCAGCUAAUGAAACUUUUCUGUUAUUAAGAUCAACAUUUGAGACUGGCGUUCCAAGAAUUCUCCAAAGCCUGUUCACAUGCAGUUUGAAGAGCCCUUUGAACAUCAAAUGGCUCUCACAAAAGAAGGCUUUUUAUCAACUGAAUGUGAAGGGGAACAUGAUUCAAAGGAAAAGAAUCCCACCACGGGCUUUUUCUGAGCUCCUAAAGGAAAGUGGAACUCAGCACUUGGAGAAGUGACUGUCACCUUGGAAUCUAACCAAACCCCAGAGCCUGGAGGACUCGGUAUGAUUUGUGGAAGUUGUCACCCCUGUAGAGACAUGAUAAGGCCCUAUUUACUACUUUAAUGUCAUCUUCAAAAAUGUUGAGGUUCACCUAACAUGUUGUCUUGUCAUUAGGGUUGCCAGAUUUAGCAAACAAAAGCAAAAAGCAAGGAUUCCCAGUUAAAUCUGAGCUUCAGACAAAAGACGAAUAAUUUUCAAUACUCAGAAUGGAUUUCUAAGGAAAAAUUUUUUUUCUGUUCCUGACUCUAUAUUUUCUGAUUUAUGUUCUAAAGAAUACUAGUGUGUGUGGGAUGUCAGUAGGUGCUCCAUAAAAGAGUUCUGUGGACAAAUCAAUUUGAGACUCUCUGGCUAAAGAAAGCCACCUGGUUUUGCCUGUGUGCGCAUAGGUGCGUGCUUAAACAGCAGAACAUGUCAGAACCUUGCCUUGUCGGUAUCUUGUCAAUAUACAUUGGACUCUUGAGGGAGUCAGUGGUGCAGUGCUUGCCAAACUGAUUUGACCAUGGAGCUUCCAAAGAACCUAGUCUGGGAAACAAUAUUCUGGAUAGAUGGCUCUAUUUUCCUUAUGGAAUGUUUUUACAGAAAAAUUACUUUAUCAUAUUUUUUCAUAACCUUAGGCUGUUUAUAUUUGUAAUAUUGCCAAUGUUUUGAAUAAAAGCAAAGAAUUUGCAAAAAUACAGGGAAGAUUUUUUUUUGGAUAGCUCCAGGGAUAAGAAGGAAGCACAUUAAU
This 1419-nucleotide long non-coding RNA is filed under the name Microcebus murinus (gray mouse lemur). RNAcentral's name for it is "lncRNA (ENSMICG00000048618.1)". The record is from RNAcentral. Lineage: Eukaryota; Metazoa; Chordata; Mammalia; Primates; Cheirogaleidae.